GGAGGGCGCGCGCGCGCACGUGCCCGUCUACCUGCGCCGCGCCUCAGGAGGCGGUUACCCGCAACGGCCGGUGGGGGGGGGCGGGGAAACGGGGCGUCCCGGAGGGACCGGUGCCUCCCCCCCCCCCCCUUCUCCUCCGNNNNNNNNNNCACGGCUCUCCGCCAGUGGCGGAUUACCGGCUCGGCUGCCAACCGUCAAACAUGGGGAGAGGAUGCGGGAGGGCUGCCCCUCCGCGCCGUAGGCCCGCCCCGGUGUGGCUUGAAGGGGGAGCCGCGCUCGCCGGCAAAUUUCAGGGCGGAAGGCAAUCCGGCAAGGUUCCUGCCACCUAUAAGUACAUGCAGGUUCCAAGUGCCAGGAUGAUACUGUCAGCUGAUUCAAAUUCAACAGGCUUCUUAGAUUGAGAACCCUCCAGAUCAAUAGAAGCUUGAUAUCAUUAAGAGACUGGGGCUCAUGAACUCACGUUUCUUGUGUGUGAUGUUGGACAAUACUGAUACACAGAAAAUUAAAUAGUUAGUGCAUCUUCAUAGUAAUGGUUGACUCUGCUUUCCUUAAAAUUAGUUAGAGGCGUCCCAACAUUUGAGUUUAAAAGCACAACUUCACAGAAAGCCUGAGCUCUCAUACUGUAUUGAAGUUGUUUAUUUUUGAACUUCAGCAGCUGUGAAGCAGUUACUGUAAAAAACCAUCAAGUAGUUUCCAGUUACAGGUUUCAAGGUUUUGAAAGUUGUUUUAUCUGCAAAAUAGUGAUAACUAUGGUCUAUAAACAAGUGUAGACUUACAGGGUAGAGGAAGGAGGAGCUGGGGAGAGGAAGUUAGGCUGUAACCACCAUAUGGUUUGUACUGCGCUGGGAGGUACUAUGCUGUGAGUCACACACUACAGUUGCAGCUAUUUCCAGCUCUCAUUAAAAGAAAUUCUCAACUUUUGAGCAACUGCGCUGUUUCAUAAUGAACUCUGCUACAUUUAAUGAUCUGAGAUCUUCGGAAGGGAAAAAAAAAUAUCUUUAGAGCUAGCAAAAUUAUUUGUUGCAAGUGUAAAGACUGCAAUAUGCUCUGCUUUAAAAUAGAUGUUCUGUGCAGAGGGAGUUGCUUUCCCCAAAUAUUUAUGGUGUAGCUGUAAUAUUAGUCUAUGUAUGGUAAUCUUUUUUUCUGAUUUUUUUCCUUAGUGAUAAUAUUUAUGAUAGCAG
This 1181-nucleotide long non-coding RNA is filed under the name Calidris pugnax (ruff). Its description in RNAcentral is "lncRNA (ENSCPUG00000012278.1)". The record is from RNAcentral. Lineage: Eukaryota; Metazoa; Chordata; Aves; Charadriiformes; Scolopacidae.